GCUGGGCAAAGUCAUGUAAAUCUGCAAUCCCAGGUACUGGAUAGACAGAAGGUGAUGGAUCUCUUGAGUUUCCGAGUUUUAAGCUAUAGUGGGCUAAGCCAACCAGGUGCUUGCCCUAAGUUUGACAUCAAUAUGAUGAGCCUCUGGGAGCUAGAACUCACCAAGUUGCUUAAGGAGGGGUGAAACAGGCCAGGUUGAAAGCAAAACAUGCCAAAGCUUCCAUGCCAAUCAUUAGUGGGAUUGGGCCACUAGUAGCACUAUAUUUCUGGCCCGAGUAAGAUAGAAAGUUUCAGUCUUU
This 298-nucleotide signal recognition particle RNA is filed under the name Phascolarctos cinereus (koala). Its description in RNAcentral is "Metazoan signal recognition particle RNA (ENSPCIG00000031592.1)". It matches the Rfam family "Metazoan signal recognition particle RNA". Rfam says of the family: The signal recognition particle (SRP) is a universally conserved ribonucleoprotein. It is involved in the co-translational targeting of proteins to membranes. The record is from RNAcentral. Lineage: Eukaryota; Metazoa; Chordata; Mammalia; Diprotodontia; Phascolarctidae.